This 29-nucleotide non-coding RNA is filed under the name Mus musculus (house mouse). Lineage: Eukaryota; Metazoa; Chordata; Mammalia; Rodentia; Muridae. The record is from RNAcentral.
UUCGAGUGACAGCACCAUGAGUCUCUGCC